UAAUUUAACUCGAAAUAUGAUUUGGUGGUGAACACAUUUAGAAAUUACUAACCGCGAGUGUUUUGUCAGGUUCAGUGUUAAGUUCGUUCGUUAAUUUAUGUUAUAACGUUAUAUGCUUUACGCUUCUUUUCUUUUAUUUUUAGUUGGUCGACACGUCCUCUCGCCUCUGUUCCCUCCUUGGCCUGGGGUUACUGCGAGUCUGGCGCUGAAGACUGAAGCUGCUAACGUUAUAUUCGAAGCCUCAGAAGACCUUCAAGGAUCCAGUUGACCUCUGAAUCAGCUGGUAAGAAAAUGGGACAGUUAUAUUGCUUCAAUUGGUCUCCUACUUCAUUUGAUUCCACCUUCAUUACAAGGCUGCAAGGGAUCUGGAAAAAUGUCAUCCUGUCAAGCUGAAAAACAUCUUCAAAAAGGCACUAACAAGAACAGCUUGAUUGCAGAGAAGAGUCCACACAGCCAUACACGCUCACUGAUGGGACAGUGAGGAACAUCAUUCAUGGAUGCUACACAACUCAAAUCUACACGUCAUAUUUGGUUCAUGUCUAGGUAAAUUUGAUGAUUUUGUGUUUUAUUAAUUACUUUGUUUCUGUGCAACACUUAAUGAAUGUGACUGACUAAUUAACCUCUACACAUCUGGUAUAUGCUUUAAAGUUGCCACUUUGCCCGUUUGUUCAAUAAAUGUUGAAAUGUAUACAUCUGUCUGAAGACUUUCCUGAUUUUAUGUCUAUCCUUUUACAUUAACUUUAUUUUUAUCAUAAUUAACAUUUUAUCUUUUUUGUUUGCACUGAAAAGAGGACAUUAUUAAUUACGCUUAAAACAACAGCAGAGGUGUUAAAUACCCCAUAGUGUAAAAUUUGAACAGCAAUAGCAUGUGUAACACUUUACACUUGGAGUGUAAUUUUUCUAGACAUUGUUUAAAAUGAAAUGUAAAAUGUGAAAAUGAA
This is a long non-coding RNA of Cyprinus carpio (common carp), 941 nucleotides long. RefSeq lists it as uncharacterized. The record is from RefSeq and is a predicted model, not a curated record. NCBI's taxonomy places the organism in Eukaryota, Metazoa, Chordata, Actinopteri, Cypriniformes, Cyprinidae. The transcript has 4 exons.